This 70-nucleotide transfer RNA is filed under the name Neotoma lepida (desert woodrat). It matches the Rfam family "tRNA". From Rfam's summary of the family: Transfer RNA (tRNA) molecules are approximately 80 nucleotides in length. Lineage: Eukaryota; Metazoa; Chordata; Mammalia; Rodentia; Cricetidae. The record is from Rfam by way of RNAcentral.
AGUCAUGGUGUAGUGGUGUGCACUCUAGACUGGGAAUCCAGCGAUCGGAGUUCAAAUUUCAGUGGGACUU